AGCAGUGGGGAAUUUUGGACAAUGGGCGCAAGCCUGAUCCAGCAAUGCCGCGUGAGUGAAGAAGGCCUUCGGGUUGUAAAGCUCUUUUGUCAGGGAAGAAACGGUGAGGGCUAAUAUCUCUUGCUAAUGACGGUACCUGAAGAAUAAGCACCGGCUAACUACGUGCCAGCAGCCGCGGUAAUACGUAGGGUGCAAGCGUUAAUCGGAAUUACUGGGCGUAAAGCGUGCGCAGGCGGUUUUGUAAGUUUGUCGUGAAAGCCCCGGGCUCAACCUGGGAAUUGCGAUGAAGACUGCAAGGCUUGAAUCUGGCAGAGGGGGGUAGAAUUCCACGUGUAGCAGUGAAAUGCGUAGAGAUGUGGAGGAACACCGAUGGCGAAAGCAGCCCCCUGGGUCAAGAUUGACGCUCAUG
This 409-nucleotide ribosomal RNA is filed under the name uncultured bacterium. RNAcentral's name for it is "bacterial SSU rRNA". It matches the Rfam family "Bacterial small subunit ribosomal RNA", at positions 350 to 751 of the family's 1533-position model. The record is from RNAcentral.